This 240-nucleotide ribosomal RNA is filed under the name uncultured bacterium. RNAcentral's name for it is "partial 16S ribosomal RNA". It matches the Rfam family "Bacterial small subunit ribosomal RNA", at positions 1 to 178 of the family's 1533-position model. The record is from RNAcentral.
GCCCAGAGUUUGAUCUGGCUCAGAUUGAACGCUGGCGGCGUGCCUAAUACAUGCAAGUCGAGCGCAGGAAACCGGCGGAACCCUUCGGGGGGAAGGCGGUGGAAUGAGCGGCGGACGGGUGAGUAACACGUGGGCAACCUGGGGCUAGAGCGGCCGCCACCGCGGUGGAGCUCCAGCUUUUGUUCCCUUUAGUGAGGGUUAAUUGCGCGCUUGGCGUAAUCAUGGUCAUAGCUGUUUCCA